CAGUCGAACGGCAGCACAGCAGAGCUUGCUCUGUGGGUGGCGAGUGGCGGACGGGUGAGUAAUGCAUCGGGACCUACCCAACUGUGGGGGAUAACGUAGGGAAACUUACGCUAAUACCGCAUACGUCCUACGGGAGAAAGCGGGGGACCUUCGGGCCUCGCGCGGUUGGAUGGACCGAUGUGCGAUUAGCUUGUUGGUGAGGUAACGGCUCACCAAGGCGACGAUCGCUAGCUGGUCUGAGAGGAUGAUCAGCCACACUGGGACUGAGACACGGCCCAGACUCCUACGGGAGGCAGCAGUGGGGAAUAUUGCACAAUGGGCGGAAGCCUGAUGCAGCGACGCCGCGUGAGGGAUGACGGCCUUCGGGUUGUAAACCUCUUUCAGCAGGGACGAAGCGUGAGUGACGGUACCUGCAGAAGAAGC
RNAcentral lists this ribosomal RNA (423 nucleotides) under uncultured soil bacterium. RNAcentral's name for it is "bacterial SSU rRNA". It matches the Rfam family "Bacterial small subunit ribosomal RNA", at positions 59 to 491 of the family's 1533-position model. The record is from RNAcentral.